Long non-coding RNA from Acipenser ruthenus (sterlet), 5870 nucleotides. RefSeq lists it as uncharacterized. The transcript is spliced from 2 exons. Lineage: Eukaryota; Metazoa; Chordata; Actinopteri; Acipenseriformes; Acipenseridae. The record is from RefSeq and is a predicted model, not a curated record.
GUAGCUUAAGUUAAAUAUAUGGAUGCUGACAGGUGGGGAAGCAGUACAGGACCUUCGUUGUAGGCAGCAUAAUUUAAUGCUGUAUUGAUAGUUACCAGCCUAUCAUUCUAAUUCCAGGUCUGGUUUUCUUUACGACCCCGUAGCUAGCCGGAGGGUGCGAGAUCUCACUUAGGGGAUCUCGCGAGAAUGUUAAUGUAGAAGCUACGUGCAGUGUUUUCCUGUACUGUGCAUUUAUGAGAAGCCCUGUUAAACGUCCCUCCCGAUGUGUUUUAAUUGCAGGUGAGAACGUAAUUUAGUAUAGCGAAGGCAUACUGAGGUGUUUUGGGGAUGGGGAUAUUGUUAUAAUGUGUCAUACCGCAUUUGUGGCUGCGAUUUGAAAUAUGUGUUCGGGAUAAUGACGGACGCACGGGGACUCGCAGACCAAAUUGUAAACAAAGAAAACGUAAUUUGUGACAUGUUCUUUGAGUAAGAGGGUAUAACGAUGAUUUAUUAGUUAAUACUGCUUGAAAUUCUGUAACAAUAGUCUAGUAGAGAGUUUGUAUUUCACUUUAUGCUUUUGUUUCUGCGUGUUAAAAGUGAAAGUAAAGUGCAUGGACAACGAGAUCUCACUUAGGGGAUCUCGCGAGAAUGUUAAUGUAGAAGCUACGUGCAGUGUUUUCCUGUACUGUGCAUUUAUGAGAAGCCCUGUUAAACGUCCCUCCCGAUGUGUUUUAAUUGCAGGAGGACAAAAUAAAGAGCCAUUGAACUGACCAGCAAGCUUGGGAGUAUCGUGUUAAACCAAGCUACACACUUUCACACAACGCAGAGCAUCUGAAUGGGUGGAGCCAGGCCCAGGAGUACUGCAUGAUAGACAGUCUGUAAAGUAGCCACCACCCUGACUUGACAGUAGUUUAUAUUUAAAGGGGAAUUUUAAAGUAGAAUAGCCCGUUUGCUAUACCUUGUUUAGCCAGUAGGUUAAUAUAUAUAUAUAUAACUCAGCCAGCUAUAUAAUCGACUCUAAGUAAGGCUUACGUAUUAGUGAACCCUGUUUACUGAUAUAGCCACGUUAAUGAGUAGGGGUUACACUAUCAACAUACAUCUCCCCACAAUAGCUCAACAUGACCAUGACAUGUAUCAACAGUAUUACACAACAGUAUAGAAUCAGAAUUACUGCAGCAAUGUGUCACGGCUGACCCCGAACCAGUUAUUAUGUGUAGUAAGAAAUUGGAUUCCUUUGCAUGGAGAAUUUCAGUGGCUAGAGUUCAGGGCUCCUCGAUUGAUUCAGAUUCAGUUGUAUUAAGUCUGCCCACUAAUAAUGUAGAGCAAAAUAGGUAUUGUGGUGUUUGCAGAGCCGACCCGAGCUGAACCCAAGACAGAAGUGGAGUCCUGCUGGGAACGAGCUGAAACAUUGGACAUGGACUGGAUGAUUUAAAAAUGAAAUGUAUUAAUGAGAUGAUAUGUGCUGUAACCAUUUGUAAUGUUUGAAUAAUCUUUAGUCUGUAACAAAUACUGUAAAGUGCUCUCUCUGUAAGACCGAAAAACAGAAUCUGGUACAACUUGAUACACUGGCCGGCCUUGAGCAGUCUCUUAUUAAAAUUGGCACGAUUCCCAGAAUUUAGUGCUGAAAUCUCUGUUAAGACUUUUCAGCUUGAAUACAGAAUAAUGCUGUACUAAUAGAUGUAUGUUAAUAUGUUUGCUUUAAAUGGUAUAGAUUGCUGUGGUAACAUAUAAUCAUAGGUAGUGAUAAUUAUUGUUAGUAUGAAAUACUAUGAACAAUUUUUAUGUAUAAGAUCAUAUGAUUCACUUUGCUUAAUAUGAUAGCAUACCUGAAGCUGUUUUCUAUCAAGAUGAGCAUAGUUAAAAACGGAGUCCUAAUUCAAUGAAAAGAAUUACUGUGUGCUUACAUUCAAGAAUUAUAACUUCUGAAUAUAAAGGGAAAAGGAGUUAGGAGUAUUCUUAAGGGAAAGAGAAAAACAGAAAAGGAUUAAAAGACCUCGCUUUGAGUAGGUUUCUGCUUGUAAUUCAGUUUUAAAAUAAGUAGGUGAGUAAGAACAACCUAGAGUAAAAGCAGACUCUAACUUAAGAAAAUAAGCAUUGUCAGAAGAUACACCACAACUAGAGAGCAGAAAAAUUGAAUAAAAUCCUAUUGUAAUAUUGCGGAUAUACUGCUGCUAGCAGAAAGUAAUAAGGUUAGCAGCCAUACGCUAUAAGAAGUAAUGUACUAGUUUGACUCUGAAGUUAAAAGACGCAGCAUAAAAAGAUGUUGUGUUUAAAAUGCAAAAUAAAAGGAUUGAAUAAAUAAUGAAGAAUAAAAGCAGGAGAUAGGUUUUAGGAGAGUAAACUCUAUGUGACCUGUCUUCUUGAACUCUCUAUCAGCCUGCCCUUGGAGAAAUUAAUAUUAGCUGCUGGAAGGCCUCUUUGGUGGGAAGAAGCCGGAAUUUUUUUAUCAGAAGGCUUAUAGUAUCGGGCCGGACUGCAAAAAUAGGGAGUUAGAACGGAUGGUCUUAGCACUUAAGAUAGUUAGUUGUCGGGCGGAACAAGCACGUAAGAUACAGGUGUAAGGAAAGUUCUAGGGAACAUUAAUCACUAUUAAACUUGGCAAGAAAAGAGGUGUCUCCAGCAAGCUGGUUUUAGCCAGUAUGUGUAUAGCUGAAAAAUACAGGGUCAUCUGGAUGUCAAUUAAGUUCAAGCUACCAGGGGCCCAUAGGAGAAAACAUUACAGCUUUACAGCUCAGUAAAAUAGUUAGGUUUUCCAUAAGGAGAAAACUCUACAUUAAAAAGAUAUAAGAUGGAAGUUCCCUAUAAUACCUGCUAAACACACACCUGUAAGGAAAGAAUGAAAUUAAUUUGAGAGUGAGAUGACAUGAGGGAAUAUAUUUUUGAAAGCCAAGUUCAUGUAAUCAAUUAUAAUCAUUAUAACUAUAACUGCUAUAUUAUGAUAUAACUAUUGGUGUUGCAUAUAUUCAAAAAACACCACUUUUCUUAUAUUGGUGUUGCAUAUAUUUAAAACACCACUCCUUUUUAUAAUGCACCCAUAUUAAGUAGUGAAUCAAGGUUGCAGGGAUUUUGUGAACUCUGCUUCACCUAACUUUUCAGAUGAAGGAGGGGGGCCAAGAAUGAGUGGAUGAGAACAUGGGCUAGUGUUGAUUUAUUAAAUGUUGUUGAUUUGUUGGCAUAUGACCUUAAUUGAGUCUGAUGAGUUGGUUGAAUUCUUUAGAGAUUACUGUUUGCCAAGAGAUAAGGACUGUCAAUAUAGAUUGAUGACUGGAUCUAAUUGGGGCUUCCCAUUGCUUUCAAUGGGACGAAAAUUGUAUAAAAACCCUGGGCCGAUCACACUGAGACCACCACAAUCAAGCUUGGCAGAGCUAUGUGUGGUCCAUCCUUUGCAGAUCUCCACAGAACAGUCCUUCUCUUUUGUUCACGCUACUCUUCCUUAUAAUAGGAGAGCCGACCCGAGCUGAACCCAAGACAGAAGUGGAGUCCUGCUGGGAACGAGCUGAAACAUUGGACAUGGACUGGAUGAUUUAAAAAUGAAAUGUAUUAAUGAGAUGAUAUGUGCUGUAACCAUUUGUAAUGUUUGAAUAAUCUUUAGUCUGUAACAAAUACUGUAAAGUGCUCUCUCUGUAAGACCGAAAAACAGAAUCUGGUACAACUUGAUACACUGGCCGGCCUUGAGCAGUCUCUUAUUAAAAUUGGCACGAUUCCCAGAAUUUAGUGCUGAAAUCUCUGUUAAGACUUUUCAGCUUGAAUACAGAAUAAUGCUGUACUAAUAGAUGUAUGUUAAUAUGUUUGCUUUAAAUGGUAUAGAUUGCUGUGGUAACAUAUAAUCAUAGGUAGUGAUAAUUAUUGUUAGUAUGAAAUACUAUGAACAAUUUUUAUGUAUAAGAUCAUAUGAUUCACUUUGCUUAAUAUGAUAGCAUACCUGAAGCUGUUUUCUAUCAAGAUGAGCAUAGUUAAAAACGGAGUCCUAAUUCAAUGAAAAGAAUUACUGUGUGCUUACAUUCAAGAAUUAUAACUUCUGAAUAUAAAGGGAAAAGGAGUUAGGAGUAUUCUUAAGGGAAAGAGAAAAACAGAAAAGGAUUAAAAGACCUCGCUUUGAGUAGGUUUCUGCUUGUAAUUCAGUUUUAAAAUAAGUAGGUGAGUAAGAACAACCUAGAGUAAAAGCAGACUCUAACUUAAGAAAAUAAGCAUUGUCAGAAGAUACACCACAACUAGAGAGCAGAAAAAUUGAAUAAAAUCCUAUUGUAAUAUUGCGGAUAUACUGCUGCUAGCAGAAAGUAAUAAGGUUAGCAGCCAUACGCUAUAAGAAGUAAUGUACUAGUUUGACUCUGAAGUUAAAAGACGCAGCAUAAAAAGAUGUUGUGUUUAAAAUGCAAAAUAAAAGGAUUGAAUAAAUAAUGAAGAAUAAAAGCAGGAGAUAGGUUUUAGGAGAGUAAACUCUAUGUGACCUGUCUUCUUGAACUCUCUAUCAGCCUGCCCUUGGAGAAAUUAAUAUUAGCUGCUGGAAGGCCUCUUUGGUGGGAAGAAGCCGGAAUUUUUUUAUCAGAAGGCUUAUAGUAUCGGGCCGGACUGCAAAAAUAGGGAGUUAGAACGGAUGGUCUUAGCACUUAAGAUAGUUAGUUGUCGGGCGGAACAAGCACGUAAGAUACAGGUGUAAGGAAAGUUCUAGGGAACAUUAAUCACUAUUAAACUUGGCAAGAAAAGAGGUGUCUCCAGCAAGCUGGUUUUAGCCAGUAUGUGUAUAGCUGAAAAAUACAGGGUCAUCUGGAUGUCAAUUAAGUUCAAGCUACCAGGGGCCCAUAGGAGAAAACAUUACAGCUUUACAGCUCAGUAAAAUAGUUAGGUUUUCCAUAAGGAGAAAACUCUACAUUAAAAAGAUAUAAGAUGGAAGUUCCCUAUAAUACCUGCUAAACACACACCUGUAAGGAAAGAAUGAAAUUAAUUUGAGAGUGAGAUGACAUGAGGGAAUAUAUUUUUGAAAGCCAAGUUCAUGUAAUCAAUUAUAAUCAUUAUAACUAUAACUGCUAUAUUAUGAUAUAACUAUUGGUGUUGCAUAUAUUCAAAAAACACCACUUUUCUUAUAUUGGUGUUGCAUAUAUUUAAAACACCACUCCUUUUUAUAAUGCACCCAUAUUAAGUAGUGAAUCAAGGUUGCAGGGAUUUUGUGAACUCUGCUUCACCUAACUUUUCAGAUGAAGGAGGGGGGCCAAGAAUGAGUGGAUGAGAACAUGGGCUAGUGUUGAUUUAUUAAAUGUUGUUGAUUUGUUGGCAUAUGACCUUAAUUGAGUCUGAUGAGUUGGUUGAAUUCUUUAGAGAUUACUGUUUGCCAAGAGAUAAGGACUGUCAAUAUAGAUUGAUGACUGGAUCUAAUUGGGGCUUCCCAUUGCUUUCAAUGGGACGAAAAUUGUAUAAAAACCCUGGGCCGAUCACACUGAGACCACCACAAUCAAGCUUGGCAGAGCUAUGUGUGGUCCAUCCUUUGCAGAUCUCCACAGAACAGUCCUUCUCUUUUGUUCACGCUACUCUUCCUUAUAAUAGGAGGUAAGCAUAUUGAUGGUAUUAUUGUAUCUCACAUUUAUUGGUUGUAUUGCUAUGAGGUUUUGAAACUAUGUUUUGGUAUUGAGGGUGUUAUAUUGAAUGUGCUAAAACAUAGCAGUGGGUGCUUGUAGGCUUUGUGCUUAACCAGCCUGAGGGCUGCACUGAAUACAUAUAAUUGUAUUAUGUUAUUGAAGUAUUAAAUGCUGAAGCUUGUAAUAAACUUAGGAUUGCUAAUUAUUGUUACAUGUUUUCGGGUUUUGGUAGUAUGCGCAAACUACUAAACCAAUAUUAAAGGCAUUUUAAUAAAACGAAGGAGCGCUGAUGUUGCUCUGAUUCGUGAAACUUUGAAUAAA